CUGGCCCAGCUCCCGGACCCGGCCCUGCACCUGGACCUGGCCCCGCACCUGGUCCCGGCCCCGCACCUGGUCCCGGCCCCGCACCUGGUCCCGGCCCCGCACCUGGUCCUGGCCCCGCACCUGGUCCCGGACCGAGUCCCGCACCCAACUGUUUUGAGCUCUGUCACAAGCACACGAGUCAGUGUGACGCUGCCUACAGAUGUGUGAACUGCCAGCACAACACGGAGGGGUACAAGUGUGAGCGGUGUAAGGCCGGGUACUGGGGAGACGCCACCAACAGCACCCCGCUAGACUGUCGCCCUUUCACCUCUUACCCAGGCUCCCGGCCACCAAACUUCCUCACACCAUGAUGGAAAUACGCUUAGGACAAG
Long non-coding RNA from Branchiostoma floridae (Florida lancelet), 371 nucleotides. RefSeq lists it as uncharacterized. The record is from RefSeq and is a predicted model, not a curated record. The transcript is spliced from 2 exons. NCBI's taxonomy places the organism in Eukaryota, Metazoa, Chordata, Leptocardii, Amphioxiformes, Branchiostomatidae.